RNAcentral lists this ribosomal RNA (120 nucleotides) under Helianthus annuus (common sunflower). The record is from RNAcentral. Lineage: Eukaryota; Viridiplantae; Streptophyta; Magnoliopsida; Asterales; Asteraceae.
GGUUGCGAUCAUACCAGCACUAAUGCACCGGAUCCCAUCAGAACUCCGCAGUUAAGCGUGCUUGGGCGAGAGUUGUACUAGGAUGGGUGACCCCCUGGGAAGUCCUCGUGUUGCAACCCC